This 2818-nucleotide unclassified non-coding RNA is filed under the name Diuraphis noxia (Russian wheat aphid). Its description in RNAcentral is "uncharacterized protein Rv2082, transcript variant X1". Lineage: Eukaryota; Metazoa; Arthropoda; Insecta; Hemiptera; Aphididae. The record is from RNAcentral.
UUAUUUUAGCAAACAACAAUAUUAUUNCACUAUAACGACAUCGCUGUCCACCGCGGCGGCCCACGUGCCGACGACUUCGACCACCUCUUUUGCGUGUCCGUCCGUGCCGAGUCAGUGUUCGAACUGCACUCGACGGUGCAAGUUGUACACGCGAUAAUAAUAUACGAUUUACCUACUGCAGUAGUCGUGAUUCACGCACACGUGUUGCCGGCGGCGGGUAACGAUAACAGUACGAUCACUGUCGUCAUCGUNGUCGCGUUCCGCGGACUUCGAACAUCUCGAUAUAGGCACUCAAGCCUACCGCCGCCGCACUGCGAGGAACCACCGACCAGCUAUAUUAUAAUAAUAUUACAGUUUAACAGAUUUUCUACCUGCGAAUGUAAUAAUUAUAUAAUAUGAUCAAGGAUUAAUUGUGAUUAGUGAAAAAAUAAUUAACUCGAGUUAAUAUAGCAAAAUCAUCGUUAACUGUUCACAAGCAAUAAGUUUAGCUCGCCUGAGUACGAAACUCGGCGACUACUCCAUCCAAGAUAAUUCAAACAGCUUUCAUUGCACAAGCACUUGCGCAAAACGGUGGUGAGGACGACGAAAGACACUAUCACUGCUGUAGACAAAGUAGAUCGCCGUGAUCAUGGCAUCGUCACCUUUGCGGGCACCGGUGGCGACUGGUCAACAGCAAUCGAGAUUGAUAGACAUGCAAAAAAAGUUCCAGCAGAAGCAUUUGGCAACUGUGGCAGCUGUCAAAGGCACAGUCGCUGGGUCUACGGCGUCUUCAAAUACCUCAUCGACCAAGACCACCGGAAGCGGUGAUAUUCCGGUGCCACCUGUUCGGCGGAUCAUCGGUACCAUCACCCCCGAACAAAAACAGCCACAGCAGCGCAGGCCAGUAGGAUCCGGAAGUGGUGGCGAUUCUAUCGUACAAGUCGACGUAAAGGGAAAGGUACGGCAGCUGUUUGCCGAGCGGAGCCAACAGCAGCAGGGGCCUGGCUACCAGCACCACCAGCAACAGCGACGGCAGCGGCGGCGGAGCCUCACGGGCCGCGACCGGUCACGGCCCCUGAGACCGCUGUCCGAUGUGAACGACGAUCCGCUGUGCAAGACGGUCUGCUUUACCGCUGGAGGUGGCGCCGACUUGGUGGGCAUCAGCGCCGCGGANGGUGGUGACGUGCGCAGCGAACUUCUCGCGCUGUUCGGGCGGUUGCCCAACCUGGGUGGACAGCUGCUAUCAGAAUCGUUCCGCAAAGGAGCCGGCAAAAUGAAGACUGCCCAGUCGGCGCCCGAGCUCAAGUGGUUACUGGACGGCGCCACCGGACCAGGCAGGGCGGUCGGGGCACACCGGUCGCAACAGCCACCCGCGUCCGAACCGGAUAAAGGCGGAGGUGUUCCCAAACGGCCGGCGGCAGGUGCAGGUGACGCCGGUGAUCACAGUGACGGUGAUGGUAAUGGUGACGACGACGACGGUGACUACGAUCAACGGCAACAGUUGCAGCGACCAGCGGCGCGAAUAAACAGCAAAACCGCGACGGUCGUGAAAAAACCACUGGCCACAGUCAACGGUAACGUAGGCGGCGGUNCUGGUGGCGGCGGUGGUGGCGGUGGCGGUGCUGGUGUGGGCCGCGUUCCUAAAAAGCCGAUGGCCACGUUCAAUGACUCAAACAGGUUAUUAUUGCCACCAGUCGUGCAGCCUACGGUGAUCAAUGCGUUGGCGGCUGGCGCUGGUGCGGCCGCGGCGGUGGCCAGCGUGAACGCAUCUACGGUGGCUGGUAUCCAGAAACCUUUGGUCAGGGCGACAAAGCUACAACCAAAGCCUACCGAAGCGAGGCGCGUCUCACCACUGCCAGCCAAGGCCGCUACCCGGGCACCGGUCGUUAAAAGCACCACGCCGACCACGGGAUCACCACGACCACAAUCUCUGAAACAGCAACUGUCCGCGGACAGGGGCCCACCAGCCAAGGGCAUGGCACGCUGCCCACUGUGCGCCAGGGACUUUGCGGCCGACCGGCUGCCCAAGCACGAACAGGUGUGCCGGCGCACGCGUGAACGAGACCGCAAACGUAAGGUGUUCGACACAAGCAAAAAGCGGCUGGAAGCUGUGGCCGCCGAGGCCGGAGUGGAUGUUACGUCGUUCAAGAAAAAGAGCCAAAAGGAGGACCAGCGGGUCGCUGAGAAGCUACAGAAGAAAAAGGACGCUUGGCGUAGGAAGCAUGACCAGCUGUUACGCAACGUGCGGGCGGCUAGGGCUGUGCAGCGGCACCUGGCUGCGGGUGGCACGGUGAAGGACUUGCCACCGGAGCUAGACAACGUGACGGCGGACCAGGAUGACGANGUCGACUCGGACUUGGUCAAGUGCCCGCAUUGUGGCCGGACGUUCAAUGAGGCAUCCGCGGAGAGGCAUAUUCCUCUGUGCGCGGAUCGACAGCGGAACGCGGCCGCCCGAAUGCAGAACAACAAGAAACGGUGAAUCUCGCCGUUUCACAAUCACCGCCACUUCAACACCAACACAUCUACUUAACGACAAUAUUAUUGACAAGAGAGGCAUUGAUGAACUCUUUCAGUACCUAUAUUGCCUUUGNCACCGUGAUCAUUCCGUCCAGCUUGAAUCUACCCAUAGUCUAUAGACUCAAUAGUAUUGAUUAGCUGUGCAAUGACUAUGAGUUAAAAUAAUAUACCGAGUCUAAGUGUACCGCAAACUGUGAGAUUUUAAUAACAUUAAAAUGCAUGAUAUAAACUCAUUGGAAAAUUGUCUUCGUGAUAGACCCUGUACAUUGUAUUGUAUUACCUACCAUAGUAGUAUUUAAUAAUUAUGUAUAAUAUGUAUUAU